RNAcentral lists this long non-coding RNA (955 nucleotides) under Gossypium barbadense (sea-island cotton). Its description in RNAcentral is "long non-coding RNA (GBAR_LNC020678)". Lineage: Eukaryota; Viridiplantae; Streptophyta; Magnoliopsida; Malvales; Malvaceae. The record is from RNAcentral.
AAAAAUCUGAAACCCCUUUUUUUCCUCUCAAGCCAACCUUAGGCCGGCCUUCAGGUCUGGUGAGCCCUUACGAUGGCCACCGGUCAUCAGUGACGGGCUCUGCUGUUCUCGGUGGCUGAAAAACACAAAAUGACCUCUUUUUUGAGCAUUUCGGCUCCCAGAAUCCAAAUCUGGGGUUGAUAUUUCCCAAAAAUCCGCCAAAAGUCGCAAAAAUCCCCAGAGAACCUUUCAGUUUCUAGGUUUUCAAAACCUUUUCAUCAGAAAAGGGGUCACCUUUCAUCGGAGGUGACGACUUCGUCCACUCACGGUGGCGGAUCACGAAGCAUCUGGUAAGUUUUCCAAACCUUUCUCCCUUUUUUAUUUUAUAUUUUUAUAAAAAAACAACAAAUCCAAAAAAUAAAUAAAUAAAUGAAUCACCUUUUUUUAUAUUUUGUUUUUUUGAUUGCUUCCGUGUAAAAAUACUUUCGUUGUUAUGGCUUUUAUAGCUAUCAUGUUUAUUAUUUUUUUCUAUUUUUUUCUUUCGAUUUCUGUUGUUUCUGCCAUUUUCACUAUUUUUGCCUUUUGUUUCUGUCCUUUUUCUUUCUAUUUUGCAGGUGGUGGUGCGAGGUCAACGGUGACAAUGGGAAGCACACCUUUGCCAUUUUGGUGCAAUGGUGGUAGGGCCGCGUCAAGCCUCAGGCGGCGAGCACGCUGACGUGAGGGGAGGAGCGGUUUGAAAAAAAGUCUAGGUUAUGGGCUUAUUAGGCUUGGGUUAUUCGGUUUUAGGGUUAGGUUAUAUAUUUGGGCCUUGGGUUUUUUGUAUUUGGGCCAUUAUCUUGUAAAUGGACUUGGACUUUAUUUUGGUUUUUAUUUUUUUUAUUUCUUGAUUUUGGGCUGGACGAAAUUGGGCCCUUACAGUCAUGACCACCAUUAGAUUCUUUCUUUUUAAAAAGGAUUCAAAUGUUGAUAAUACCAU